GCGUAGGCAUUGUGGAGAAUAUUUGCAUCUGAAUGCCUAAAAUGCCCUGUUGUCCGGCUCUACAUGAGGGAUGGAGAUUUAAAAAAGAUUUCCAUCUAUCUCGGCAGACAGUUAAUUCCUUGGUACACAAAAGACCAUGGCUAGGGAAAGGACCUGGAGGUGGGGAGUUAUCUCUACUGGCCACCUCAUACUGGGUGGUGUCAGAGACCUUCAAUCUCCUCAUCACCGCUGUUCAUGAUGUGGUGCAGCUGGUCGCAGGCAGCAUCACGUAGAUCAUGAAGAAGGUGGUGUAUCUCCCUUCUGCUGCUGAGAGCAUAAGGCAAGGCUUGGCUGGUUCUCGUGUCUUCAACAAAGUGGCUGGCAGCAUUGAUGGCUCCCCGGCCUAAGACGGAUGGUGGAGGUAUGUGGCAGUGGGGCGUGGUUCAGCUCAGCUGCAAGGGAGAGAUGUGUGGGGAGGGCUUGUGGGAACAGAGCCAGAGCUCAUUGACACAGGUGUGAGCUUGUGGCUGAUUGCGCUCUUUCUUUGUCUCUCUGCAGUAGCAUGCUGGACCCGGAGAAGCACACGUACACGGCAGGAGGCUCUUGGAGGAGCAGCUUUAGUUGUAGUUUAGUUUGGCCUGUGAUUUACAUGGCCGUUAUGAGCCGUAAGGACAAAACAACAACAGUGACCUUAAUAUAAUUUAUUUUGCAAAAGUACAUGUUAAAAGGGUAAAGAUAAAAAUUAGUGGCUCUUGAAUUUAUAUUCUGGUGAAAGUGAUGCAACUCCGCAACUUGGUAAACUCGACAACAAACUCUGACCAGGAUUUUUAUUCAAAUUAUUCACAAACAAUAUUUAUUAAAUGACCAGCAAAGAGGUCGUCACACUAGACUUCUCUGAUAAAACCUCCAGAUGUGAAGGUGGCGAGCUGUCCUCCCUUCACAGGAUUUGCCUCAUCCUUGCAUCCAUACAAUAAAACAUCCCAUCGUAAAAAUUUAAAUAAAGGUACACCCACACACACAUAUACAUCUAUACGUCCCCCCCUCCACUUGCCAUAUAUGCAAUUUGCGACAAAUGCAGGGUUUAAGCCUCAGCCCACACUCCAUAUUCUGUUCUGCUCUCCAUUUCACAACCCAUAGAUUUCCUCAGACUAAAGCCUCUGAGAGCAUAUACACACAGAAGCUCUUACUAUCUCCCCUUGUCAUGAUGAUGGGCAAUAAUUUCCCAUCCACAUUACAUAACUCUGAUAAACCUCUUAAAACGCCAUGCCUCUCAGUGUGGAAAUUUCUAAUCCCAGUGGAUGCCUCAGCAGCAGGCCAGAGCCUGUUUUAAUUUUCAAUAACUGUUAACAUUCGAACGUUUCACCGAUGGUAGAGUUGAGACUUUUAUCCAGAGUGUCUUGAAAUGCUGCGUUUGAGCAGAUCAUUUGGCUGCCCUUUGCUUUCACAGCAGACACGAACGCAGCGGUAGCUGCCAUCAUAACAGACUUCAAAAGGAAGUUAAGACGUGCUGGUGACAGUUUAUGAAGACAAUGGAGAGAGAGGAUUUUGUUUAACUGCAGAACUUACAGCAAGAAAGGCAAACCCCAUUGUGAUUUUUUUGUUUCUUUUUCAUUCCUUUGUUUCCUUUCCUCUCCUCUGGAUUUAAUUUCAGCUUCCAGUUAUUCCUUACGCCUUAUUGCUCUCUCCCCAUUCUACAGAUUUAAUGACUUUUUUCACUUGCCAUUAAUGUCACAAUAAAGCAAUAAUAAAUGUACAGAGUUGAAUUACACGCAUGCAUGCACAGACUGCUCACAUUUUCUUCGCAUCCCCAGAGCCGUACCAACCUGAUGUCACUUCCAAGUCUUCGAAUAAAACCAGCGAUGUUGGUUUAAUGUGUCAGUAUGUGAUUCUUUCACUUGAAGAUAAAUGGUCACUGGUUGAUGCAUUAUAGCUAAUUGUUUUGAUGCGGCAAGGAAAUCGGUUGGGGUUGGUGGUUGAGGAAAUGCAUGGAAUAAUUUCUGAGCCCCUCUGGCUUCCAUGUGACAAUGCCAAAGCCUUUGGCAGUGACAGUCAACCUUCUUCUUGUUUAGCCACAGUUAGAUAUGAAGAGCUGCCAAUCAAGACUUUUUUCCCAGCAGGUUUUCUUUGUUUUUUUUCCAACUCACAACAGCUCUGCUCCUGUCUUCUUCUGAGAGUCCGAAACAUUUGCAGCAAAUCAGAUGAUAUGAUUGAAGUCUACUGAUCUUUAGCCAGGCUGACCUGAUUGCAGAUGCAAUGAUGAACCUUCUUAUGCUUAUACAUGUUGACUUUUAUGGACAGUGCACGGCCAUCACAGAAGUCCAGAUAAGUUCAGAUCAGAUCAGGCAGGCCAAUCCCCCCAGUCACCCUUCUCUAAGUGUCUUCAUCAAGUCUACCAGAACUAUGAAGACCCCAGCUGGGAUCCCUGCCAGAACUUCAACCAGAGGCUGUGUUCUCUGAACUGCUAUUUGGUGCAAACACACACACACACACACACACACACACACACACACACACACACACACACACACACACACACACACACACACACACUCAGUCAGCACAGUUCAUGGAGGUAAACCUGACCAUACUUGGCCUGGCUGGGCCAUCCAGUUGCGUGAAUCACUUGCCGUUCCUUCCCACAACAGUCUGGACUUCGGCCAAUUGGGAGUGUGUAUUAGAAAUCAGAAAAUAACCGGGCCAAUCAGUGACUGUGUUUCCACUGUUUCCCGGACAACAGGGAAAGGCAGCCCCUGAUUGGUCCAUGUGUAGAUGGUGACGUCUAACACAUGCUGUGGGACUUUUCAAAGCGCCGUUAAUUCUACAGUUGACUUUGCAAAGUCGGCAGAAAUCGUUUAUAUCCGCAGAAGAAGACAUAAAAGGCAUUGUUUGCUCGCACACGUUGAAAUAUUACCAAACCCUUACUUGAUGCUUGAGAGCCCAGCAGGGAACACAGUUGCGCACUGUGAUGAUGUCAGAUGUUUGGUUACAGUGAUUGGUUUCAGUAGUCUGUCUAUCAAGGAAAGUACUCCUGCCCACUUUUAGGGCUCCCAAUGGGCUGAAGACUGUUGUGGGAAGGAACGCCAAGUGAUUCAUGCAACUGGAUGGCCCAGCCAGGCUAGACCAUACCUAUCUGAUACUACUCCAGUAUGAUAGCACAGCCAUAUGACAAGGUGUAUCAUGGUGCAUUGAGAUUUAUAAUAAAUUGUGGCUUUUUUGCUUAUCUGACCUUUGUAUCUCUCUUGCAAAAAAGAGAUCCCUGAUUUUAAUGGGACUAACCUGGCUUAAAAAAGCUCAAUAAAGGUCACUUGAUUACCGGUCUUUCCUUGAAGAUUUACGACAGCUACGGCUGCAAUUUUAAAGUGUAUUACUCAUACAAGUGCAAAAUGUUAAGUAAUGCUUUUUUAUCCCACAUCAUGACUUCCAUCUCAAAUACCAACUGGUAGUUUUGGCACUUGAACACAUCCAGACUUCAGUUUUCUGCAUGGUUGCACAAAGUUACACAACCAUAAGUGUUCACAAACUGAAUUUGGAACUGUUAAAGGGCUGUUUCAUUAACUUUAAUUUGAAAGUUUUACCAAAAGUUUGAUCUUUACUGAAGCUAAUCAACAAAUUAUGAAGCUCUGAAAUUGUUUUAUUUAAGACUCAAGAAAACAAACCAACCUCCUUGUAAAACAAAAACAAACAACAAAAAAACUGUGUUAGAGCCCGUAGGACAUACACAAAAAUAAAAACAGACUCACUCAGAGAGGGGCUGCUGAUGUUUUAGCUCUAAAAAUGUAUCUGUGAAUGCUUGCUGCUUUUCCUCUCCUCACAUGCUAACACACAUUUAUAGAUCCCUGUAUAGUGACGCGCCAAGUCAAUUCAGUUUUAAAAAAGGGGCCUUUUAGCAUAUGCUGUCUGCCUUCCUGUGUCACUCACACAUGCCUGCAUCAGUAAAAAUAGACUGGAGCUUGAUGAAUGUGCUCGCUGUUGUAUUGAAUCCUGGUGCUGAAUGGUGGAAGCUAUUGUUAUCACUAUAAAGGCCUUGAAUGUUGCUGGGAGGGGGUAGGGUCUUUGGAAUGAUAAAUGUACCAGACUGGGGAAAGUAAUUAUUCUACGGAUGUAAAGUAAUGUUGGAAACUCCUCCUAAUCUUAUCUAUAUAAUGAAGAGAGAAAACAAAAAAGAAAGAGUAACAAGCAGACAGCACUCAUCAUUUCUCCAGACUGAUAAGAGACAACUUCCUGUUUACUCAGUUUAAACAUCACAACAAAAGUGUUCCAAAAAGAGAUAAUGGUUUAAAGUUCUUGAGGGUGUCACUGUUAAUUAUUUCAGUGUGCAAAUUAAUAAUGAUAAUAAUAAAAGAUUGGUGUCUUUAAAUGUAAAGUUUGAGUAACUAACUCGUUAAACAUUAUGUACCAGGAGAAGGCUGAUAAGAUAACACUGAAGUCUGGUCGGUCAAGCUUCAGGGUGGAGUGACCUCUCCCCCACUCAUUGUAAAUUCCACCUCAGUGCCAGCUAGACACAGCUGCACUGAUAGUAAGUAAUGUUGCAAUGACAAACUCAGUGUUUGUCCCUGAAAAGUCCCUUAACUUUUUGUUGGCCAUAAAAUUUCCAAGUUGGAGUAUAAUUAAAGAAGACUCAUUUGUCAAUUAUUGUUUUAAGGAAAGAGUGCAUGAAUUAUUCACUACUAUCAGGUUAUUAUGAUAUUAAUUGUACGGCCAUAUAUGGUCAAGCAACUUGUCUCUUACUUGUCUCCCUCCUUUUCACCCUCAACAUGCUCCCCCUUGGCGAUAUCAUUCAGAAACAUGGGCUUAAUGUUCACUGCUAUGCUGACAACAUCCAGAUCUACAAUUCCAACCACCUGGUCUACUUUCUCCACCUGCCUCACUAAAAUGAAUUCAUGGAUGUGAACCAACUUCCUUCAACUGAACUGCAGUAAAUCUGACAUUAUAAUCAUUGGCCCCAAAUCACUCACUAAACCCGCUCAGAACCUCUGCCUCAAUUUUGAUAAUUCCACCCUCCCUCCAUCAUCCAGCAUCCACAACCUCAGGUAAUCUCUGAUACCAACCUCUUUCCGCCCUUCACUCUCCUCCGCCGCUGAAACUCUGAUCCAUGCUUUUAUCACAUCCAGAAUCAAUUACUACAAUAAUAUCUUGUCUGGUUCACCCUCCAACAUUAUCAAUAAAUUACAAUACAUCCAAAUCUCUGCCGCUCGCCUCCUCACCCAUACCCAUUCACACGAACACAUCACUCCAGUUCUCCAUAACCUCCAUUGGCUUCCUGUUCGCCAACACAUUAAGUUUGAAACCCUUCUCCUCACCUUCAAA
Molecule: non-coding RNA, 5286 nt
Organism: Xyrichtys novacula (pearly razorfish)
Lineage: Eukaryota; Metazoa; Chordata; Actinopteri; Labriformes; Labridae
Source: the annotation of a GenBank genome assembly